Molecule: long non-coding RNA, 350 nt
Filed under: Daucus carota (carrot)
Lineage: Eukaryota; Viridiplantae; Streptophyta; Magnoliopsida; Apiales; Apiaceae
Description: long non-coding RNA (DCAR_LNC007369)
Source: RNAcentral
UGAUAUUUGUGAAGCUUGAGAUUUUCUAGUGCUUGACUGGCAAUGGUGGCAGAGAUGGCUGGAGAGGAGGAUGAGCUUCCAGAUUGUGAUUGAAGAAUUGUUGAAGCUUGCCUUUCCAGCUCCAUGCUAACAACAAUUGCAUUGGCAGACUGCAUGGAGAGCCAUGAAGGUAGAGAAGUUGUAGGUUGUUCAACAAGGGAUUCCUCAAGAGCAUCAUUGAGGUCUUCAUCACUAUCAUCAUAAUGAAAAUCAUCUCCAGCAUUGGCAGGCAGAGCUGUAAAUGCCUCCUUUGCUCUAAGCAUAGAAGAUGUAGUGUGAAUCAGAUUGAGGUGCCUCUCAGCUGCUUGAUU